Molecule: unclassified non-coding RNA, 491 nt
Filed under: Hevea brasiliensis (rubber tree)
Lineage: Eukaryota; Viridiplantae; Streptophyta; Magnoliopsida; Malpighiales; Euphorbiaceae
Source: RNAcentral
CCAUCUUCCCUCCUCGACCUCUUAUACGGUGGUGAUCUCCUCGGUGGCGGGGAAUGCCUCCUGUCCCUGUAUGGCAAGGGAGGAGGACUCAAACUGUUCCUCCUCUUGCAAUCUCUCUCCCUCUCUCUAGGUGGGGGAGACCGAUUCCUAUCGUAAUAAUCACCGCCCCGUCGAUUCGGCGGCCUAUCGAGGUCCCUAUCUCGGGAGUCUCUGUCGCGCCGUCGAGAGGUGUUCUGCGUAGGGGGAGGAGGUGGUUGUGGCGGAGAGGACGAUUGAGGGUCGUCGGCGGAGGACUUCUCCUUGCGUUCACGGCUGCGGCGAUCCAGAGAAUCGACAGGCAUGUUUAUGACCUCGGCCAUGAUGGGAAUUGUUUGGUUAGGUUGAAUUGGGGAAGAUUUUGGUGAAACCCUAGAAAAGAGGAAAGAAAAUGAAAACAAGGAUGAGAACGAUGAUGAGUUCGUCAGUCUGCUCAGUUUUACAAGCUCAGAAAC